GGAGAGCAGCUCUGGGCGCCGGGCGGUUGCUGCGGGCGCUCAGGGGCCCUGGGAACAAUGGCGCUGUGCGCGCGGGCCGCGCUGCUGCUGGGCGUGCUGCAGGUGCUGGCGCUGCUAGGGGCGGCGCAGGACCCGACCGACGCUCAGGGCUCUGCAAGUGGAAACCACUCAGUGCUGACCUCCAAUAUUAACAUAACAGCCACGGCUUCCAGACGUCAUGGUGCUGCUGCUGCUUCGUGUAACAUGGCCAGUUGGUGACUCAGGUCAAGGGCUUUUCAAUCAAAUCGCCUAACUUUACUGGACAAGUUCCCAUCUAGAAUACCAACCAGACCAUGAGUGUGGUUUCCAACCAGACCAGUGAAAUGCAGAGCACCGCGAAGCCUUCCGUACUGCCAAAAACUACCACACUUAUCACUGUGAAACCUGCAACUAUUGUUAAAAUAUCAACCCCAGGAGUCUUACCACAUGUGACGCCUACUGCCUCAAAGUCUACACCCAAUGCAAGUGCUUCUCCAAACUCUACCCACACGUCAGCAUCCAUGACAACCCCAGCCCACAGUAGUUUAUUGACAACUGUAACGGUUUCAGCAACUACUCAUCCCACCAAAGGCAAAGGAUCCAAGUUUGAUGCCGGCAGCUUUGUUGGUGGUAUAGUGUUAACACUGGGAGUUUUAUCUAUUCUCUACAUUGGAUGCAAAAUGUAUUAUUCAAGAAGAGGCAUUCGGUACCGAAGCAUUGACGAACAUGAUGCCAUCAUUUAAAGUACUUCAGUGGUCAAGGAAAGAAGAAAGACUGCAGCCUUAUCAAUUAUUUUGGUUUAUAUUAGUUUAAACUAUUAUUUUCUUGGAAGUAGUAUAAACAAGUCAUGCAUAUAAUGAGCAGUGUAUUCCAUGAAUAUCUGGAAAUUUCUCAUUACUAUAGGUAAAGGGUAUAGUCUGGGUAAAAUGAAUAUUGGGAGCUAACAGGUCAUUUAUCCAGUGAUUGCAUUUCCUUUAGCAAGACAAGUCCUAUCUUUUGGAAUAUGUGCAUGGCAUUGAUUGGUCAUGUAGGACCAACAUCACUGAGUAGCAGGGCCCAUCUGCAUACAGGUGAGGAGCCUGUCACAGCAUCCCGGAUCUCAGUAUCUUCUCUGCUCACAUAAAGCACUUGAGUGCCAGUCAGAGCUGGGUGAUCCUAAUUCCUGCCUCAGGUUCCAUGGUUGCGCUAACCAGCUUUCAAGUGCAGUUGAAGUAAGUUUCAGUAUUUUAGGGUUUAGAUUAGAGUUCAUCUAGAAGUAGAACUUGCAGUCCAAAUACAUCCCCCACGACCUCCUAUGCUAACGGCCACCGAGCACUGGGAGCUCAGACUUGGCUCGUCAUCUCCCUUCAACUGUCAGGAUUGGUAUUUCUUCCUUUGUACAUAAUUUAGGCAAGCUGCAGUGCACACCCAGCUUCUCAAAAGGCGUAGCACAUGAAGACUGCUGCCAUGCUGCUGUGGAAACCUGUCCCAGCAUUGCAAACUGGUCUUCACGGUCACUUGUCAGCUGAGUUCUAGUGAAUGUCUUUUAGGCAAUGUGGAGCUGCUUCCCAUAGUUAGAAUUUUUUAAUUGAAUCAGAAAUGCCAUUUUUAAAAAGCUCCGUGAUAUGACGUCCCACCCAGUGUUUAGAAGUCUAUAUUGACCGGCAUCCUGCUUGUUAAGCCAGGAAUUGUAAAGCCCAGGCCUUUGAACCCACAGGGUACAAAUGCAGUAUUUUUGUACACUGUCAACUUAGUCAGAUUUGAGAAAAUGACUUUUUUAUACUAAAGUGUAUUUUGGUGAAUUCUGGUUUCCUUAUCCCCAAGCCUACUCCUUACCCUUGGAAAGAGAGCUGCAUCCUGAUAUUUCCAGGGAAGCAGCCACGCUGUCUGUGGCACUGUAAGUUCUAAAGUUUAUACUCAGGUCAAACUCAGGGCCAGGUUUAACAAAGAAAGUGUUUAGUUACAAAAUACUAAUAUAGUAUGCUAUUGUAAAAGGACAAAGUGAAUUAUAGCAAUUUCAAAAAGUAUAGAAAUAAGCCAAAAAUAUCUGAAUGAGCACACAUCUAUGUUAGAAUUAAAAAUGUAAGUAUAACUUUUGUAAUCUGCUUCUGGUUUUCAAAACAACAAACUACCAAGAAUUUUUUUAUAUAUAAGAAUCAUUUCUACUUGCUUUACAUCGGGUCCAACUGACAUGGUGAGGCAUGGACUGCUCAGGUUAUGUUAACACGGAGAGAGAUGCUAGGAAAUGGACCAUGGAAUUAGACUAGUUUCAAAUGAGGGCUGCUGAGAAAGCCACACUUCUCAUUGGCUUUCAGCCACUGCUCUGCUUUCUAUGUGAAAUACAGUUCAGGGCCUGGGGGCAACAGGGUGGUGAAAGUUUAACUUUGUUUGUCUGUUACAUUCUUGGUACUUCAGUACCUGCCAGAGAUCCUCUUGAACACUUGUUUCUUUAGCACUUUGGAGAUAUAAACCACUUUAUAAAGGCACUGUUAUUAUUUGCCUCUUACAUUUCCACUGAGUUGGGGGUUAAAAGUAAUUUACUUAUUAUCUUUUCUAAUUUGUUACUUUCAAAUACCAGGACUUUGUUGAAGAGACUUCUUUUUAAUGUAUAAAAAUUGAAUGUUUCCUAAGCAUAAGUUGUCUUCCAAGUCUCACUUAAGCAAAUGCUUACCUUUCCUAGCUUUCCUAGAGAAUGUGUUUAUUAAGAUAAAACAAUGAAUAAAUCCAUAGGAGGACUAAUUCAAAUAUGACAGUUGGCAACAUAUUUUAUGGUGUGGUAAUUUUGUAUCUUGAGAAAGACUAAAGCAAACCCUUAUUGCCCUUUUUCUAUUUUAACGACCAAUUUUGGUAUUUCAUUGUUACUAAGAUCUAUUUUUAGAAUAAAAUUUGUUCUCCAUUCAAA
Molecule: RNA transcript, 2899 nt
Organism: Mus musculus (house mouse)
Lineage: Eukaryota; Metazoa; Chordata; Mammalia; Rodentia; Muridae
Gene: Tmem123
Gene name: transmembrane protein 123
Exons: 6
Source: RefSeq, marked validated